GACGAACGCUGGCGGCGUGCCUAAUACAUGCAAGUUGAGCGCUGAAGGUUGGUACUUGUACCAACUGGAUGAGCAGCGAACGGGUGAGUAACGCGUGGGGAAUCUGCCUUUGAGCGGGGGACAACAUUUGGAAACGAAUGCUAAUACCGCAUAAAAACUUUAAACACAAGUUUUAAGUUUGAAAGAUGCAAUUGCAUCACUCAAAGAUGAUCCCGCGUUGUAUUAGCUAGUUGGUGAGGUAAAGGCUCACCAAGGCGAUGAUACAUAGCCGACCUGAGAGGGAGAUCGGCCACAAUGGGACUGAGGAACGGCCCAAACUCCUACGGGAGGCAGCAGUAGGGAAUCUUCGGAAAUGGACGAAAGUCUGACCGAGCAACGCCGCGUGAGUGGAGAAGGUUUUCGGAUCGUAAAACUCUGUUGGUAGAGAAGAAAGUUGAUGAGGGUGGAAAGCUCAUCAAGUGACGGUAACUACACAGAAAGGAACGGCUAACUACGUG
RNAcentral lists this ribosomal RNA (497 nucleotides) under uncultured bacterium. Its description in RNAcentral is "partial 16S ribosomal RNA". It matches the Rfam family "Bacterial small subunit ribosomal RNA", at positions 28 to 507 of the family's 1533-position model. The record is from RNAcentral.